GGAGAGGUACCGAAGCGGUCAUAACGGGGCAGUCUUGAAAACUGUUAGAGCGCAAGCUCACGUGGGUUCGAGUCCCACUCUCUCCUCCA
Molecule: transfer RNA, 89 nt
Filed under: Paenibacillus sp. GSMTC-2017
Lineage: Bacteria; Bacillati; Bacillota; Bacilli; Caryophanales; Paenibacillaceae
Also listed under: 1 other name
Description: tRNA-Ser
Rfam family: tRNA
About the family: Transfer RNA (tRNA) molecules are approximately 80 nucleotides in length. Their secondary structure includes four short double-helical elements and three loops (D, anti-codon, and T loops).
Source: RNAcentral